Molecule: ribosomal RNA, 253 nt
Filed under: uncultured bacterium
Lineage: Bacteria
Description: partial 16S ribosomal RNA
Rfam family: Bacterial small subunit ribosomal RNA
Source: RNAcentral
UACAGAGGUCUCAAGCGUUGUUCGGAUUCAUUGGGCGUAAAGGGUGCGUAGGCGGCGCGGUAAGUCGGGUGUGAAAUCUUGGAGCUUAACUCCGAAACUGCAUUCGAUACUGGAGAGCUCGAGUCCGGAAGAGGUGAGUGGAACUCCGAGUGUAGAGGUGAAAUUCGUAGAUAUUCGGAAGAACACCAGUGGCGAAGGCGGCUCACUGGUCCGGUACUGACGCUGAUGUGCGAAAGCGUGGGGAGCAAACAGG